This 253-nucleotide ribosomal RNA is filed under the name uncultured bacterium. Its description in RNAcentral is "partial 16S ribosomal RNA". It matches the Rfam family "Bacterial small subunit ribosomal RNA", at positions 524 to 776 of the family's 1533-position model. The record is from RNAcentral. RNAcentral also lists the same sequence under 1 other name.
UACGAAGGGUGCAAGCGUUACUCGGAAUUACUGGGCGUAAAGCGUGCGUAGGUGGUUGUUUAAGUCUGCUGUGAAAGCCCUGGGCUCAACCUGGGAAUUGCAGUGGAUACUGGGCGACUAGAGUGUGGUAGAGGACAGUGGAAUUUCCGGUGUAGCAGUGAAAUGCGUAGAGAUCGGAAGGAACAUCUGUGGCGAAGGCGACUGUCUGGGCCAACACUGACACUGAGGCACGAAAGCGUGGGGAGCAAACAGG